UUGCUUUGGCAGUACAUACACUAAAAUUGGACCGAUGCAGAGAAGAUUAGCAUGCCCCUGUGCAAGGAUGACAUGCACAUUCACGACGUGUUCCAUAUUUCU
Molecule: small nuclear RNA, 102 nt
Organism: Phacochoerus africanus (Common warthog)
Lineage: Eukaryota; Metazoa; Chordata; Mammalia; Artiodactyla; Suidae
Source: RefSeq, a predicted model, not a curated record